This 253-nucleotide ribosomal RNA is filed under the name uncultured bacterium. RNAcentral describes it as "partial 16S ribosomal RNA". It matches the Rfam family "Bacterial small subunit ribosomal RNA", at positions 524 to 776 of the family's 1533-position model. The record is from RNAcentral.
UACAUGUGGGGCAAGCGUUGUUCGGAAUUACUGGGCAUAAAGGGUGCGUAGGUGGUUUGUUAAGUCAGGGGUGAAAUCCCGCGGCCCAACCGUGGAACUGCCUUUGAUACUGGCGAACUUGAGUGCGUGAGGGGUAGGGGGAACGAGCAGUGUAGCGGUGAAAUGCGUAGAUAUUGCUCGGAAGGCCAGAGCCGAAGGGGCCCUACUGGUGCGUAGCUGACACUGAGGCACGAAAGCGUGGGGAGCAAACAGG